Molecule: small RNA, 3902 nt
Filed under: Arabidopsis thaliana (thale cress)
Lineage: Eukaryota; Viridiplantae; Streptophyta; Magnoliopsida; Brassicales; Brassicaceae
Description: ATSL269200
Source: RNAcentral
GCUUGGUUAGUGCUUUGGAGUCGAAUAUGACUUGAUAUGAUGUGUAUGAUUGAGUAUAAGAAAUUAAACCGCAACCGGAUCUUAAAAGCCUAAGUACUGUUUCCUUGUUAGAAGAUAUAAAGGCAAAGCCUCAUACAGACUUUAGCUAUACCAUCAAAGCCUUGAGAAGCAAGAAGAAACUUGGUUAGUGUUUUGGAGUCAAAUAUUACUAGAUGUCAUGUGUAUGAGUGAGUAUAACAACUAGAACCAUAACCGGAUCUUAAAAACCUAAGUAUUGAAUCUUUGUUAGAAGAUACAAAGACAAAGGCUCAUACGGACUUCGACUACACUAUCAAAGCUUUGAGAAGCAAGAAGAAGCUUGGUUAGUGUUUUGGAUUCGAAUAAGACUUGAUGUCAUGUGUAUGACUCAAUAUAAAAACUAGAACCGCAACAGAGGUUAAAAGCAUAAGUAUUGUAUCAUUGUUAGAAGAUACAAUGACGAAGACUCAUAUGGACUUCUGCUACACCAUCAAAGCUUUGAGAACCAAGAAGAAGUUUGGUUAGUGUUUUGGAGUCGAAUAUGACUUUAUGUCAUGUGUAUGAGUGAGUAUAAAAACUAGAACCGCAACGGAUCUUAAAAGCCUAAAUAUUGUAUCCUUGUUAGAAAAUACAUAGACAAAGACUCAUACAGAAUUCGGCUAAACCAUCAAAGCUUUUAGAAGCAAGAAGAAGCUUGGUUAGUGUUUUGGAGUGAAAUAUGACUAGAUGUCAUGUGUAUGAGUGAGUAUACCAACUAGAACCACAAUUGGAAUUUUAAAAGCCUAAGUAUUGUAUCCUUGUUAGAAGAUACAAAGACAAACACUCAUACGGACUUUGGCUACAUCAUCAAAGCUUUGAGAAGCAAGAAGAAGCUUGGUUAGUGUUUUGGAGUCGAAUAUGACUUGAUGUGAUGUGUAUGAUUGAGUAUAAGAAAUUAAACCGCAAAUGGAUCUUAAAAGCUUAAGUAAUGUUUCCUUGUUAGAAGAUACAAAGGCAAAGCCUCAUACAGACUUUAGCUAUACCAUCUGAUAUGUCUAUAAUUUGCAUGUUUUCAGUGUCUAUUCAUCAUCACUUUGAGUCUAGUUUCGUAUCAUUCAUCACUGUUUUAUAUCAUUUCUCAUCAUUCUUGCACACUUUGCAUGAUUAGGAUAGCUUUGCAUACAUAUUGCAUUUCUGAGUUGUUUUCAGGUGAUUUGGAGCUGUUUGCGAGCAAAUUGGAAGAAACGAGCCAGAACCAGAAGACAUACUCGACCCCCAGGCCGAGUGACUUUGGAGCCAUUCUUCCCACAUACUCGACCCCCAGGUCGAGUGACUUUGGAGCCAUUCUUCCCGUCCACUCGACCACCAGGUCGAGUAACCUCAGCUCAGGCCACUCGACGACAUUACUCGACCCCCUGGUCGAGUACCGCUUCGCCACACCACCUGACCACACUCGACCAUUCACUCUACCACGUUACUCGACCCCCUGGUCGAGUAUCAUCACUCACCACCAUCACCAUCAGUCGACCGGACACUCGAUCACGUCUUCACAGUCUACUCAAAUCCGCACUCAACCAGACAAGCUGAGCACAAGGAAGAAAAGAGGAGAAGACAAAGUGUUUGGAAGCGGCCUGGACCUCCAUCGGAUCACGAAGCCCAUCUCGGCCCAUUAUCACUCUAUGGGCCGGGCGAUUAGGUUAUUGGCCCGUCUACUAUCAUUUUAUUUCGUUUGGUAUAAAUAGAUGUUUUAGGGUUCUGUCCUGAGACAUCUAGUCGACAUUGCGUUUUUGCUUCAGUUUUAUUUUCAGUUUUACUCUGCUACGCCGCUUUUGCUUCUGCAACCUGUAGUUCGCGAUUUUUCCAAGUUAUUGAGAUUCCGCGUUUGAUUUCAUUAGUCAUCUUGUUUCUCUACUCUUUAUCUCUUUACUUAUGCAAUAUUAUCGUUUACCUGCGUUUAUGUCUUUGAGCAUGCUGUCUGAGUAGUGACUUAGAAUUCUUAGGGAUGGGAUAGAGUAGUUGUGGAAUCCGUAGUCUGUAGAAUGGUUAAGUUUUAGAAUUGAUUGAAUCCCUUUAGGACUAGUUGCGUUUACUGCUUAUUUCUUUCUGAUCAACUGGAAUUCGAUCCCAAGCAUUCCCGCACCCAGAAGGUGUUCGAUGGAAUGCUUGAUCCACUAGUUCAUGAGAUAUGCGACUCUAUCCCAAGGGAUUGGCCGUUUAGAGCGUUUAUUGACUUUAUCAGUCUGUUCGUAUUGCCUGCAUAGUUAGAUUCCGUUAAUGGGAAUUAGUCUGGGCUAGCUUUGCUUGAGGAUUUCUAUCACGGGAGUGAAUUGGUCUGUUGUUGAACCUGUUGUCUAGGGAUAGCUUGAUUGCGCUUGUUAACCAUUCGAAUAGGCUAGGACACCACUCUACUCGAUUACCCCAUCCUUAGGAAUUUCUCGUCUAUCUUAUUUCUCUGUUUUAUCGUUAUCGCUUAAUCGUUCUCAUUGCCUGUUUCUUAGUUUUUACAAUCACUCGACCAACUUACUCGACCACACCCAGUGUCUGGCAACAGACUGUGCAGUCGAGUAUAGCUGUUUCAUAUCCUGUCUAUUACUCGACCUGUUACUCGACCACAUCCUACUUCUGGCAUCAGCCUGUUGUGGUCGAGUGAUUUUAGUAAUUCUGUUAUUGCUUCUGUUUUCUGCAUGUUCGCUUAGGACUGUUAGAAACCUCAAAACUGUUAUUGCUUGGCUUGACUUAGUGACUUCUGAUCACAUCUCAUCUGUUUGCAUCACACCCAUUUGGAUUGACACCUAAAAUACUACAACGACAUGAUUGGUGUUUUAGGAAUAAUUGACUAAAAACCUAUUAUCAAUUUGGCGCCGUUGCCAAUUGGGUGUUUGUUUGCUAUAUUUGAGAUUUCAGAAUAUUUAAGAUCAAGUUCUUUUUCAUUUUUUCUGAAAGUUACUAACUUUGUGUUAUUUCUGUUUGUCUGUUUUGAUUCAGGUACUACGAAUCACUAGCUUCACCAGUUGGUACUCGUUGUAUGCAAACACGGUCACGAGGAAAUCAGAAUCUCCUGUUCAACGAUAACAUCGACCGUAUUGCACGCCAACUCAGAACACAGACAGAAACAGAGACAAUGGCUGCAGUUGUUGAUGAGCAGGUGCAACCAAACAACAUAGGUGCAGGCGAUGCACCACGCAACCACAAUCAGCGUAAUGGCAUCGUGCCUCCACCUGUGCAGAACAACAACUUUGAGAUCAAGAGCGGUCUCAUUGCCAUGGUUCAGAGCAACAAGUUCCACGGCCUCCCUAUGGAGGAUCCACUCGAUCACCUGGACGAGUUUGAUAGGCUCUGCAGCCUAACAAAGAUCAAUGGAGUCAGUGAGGAUGGCUUCAAGCUCAGAUUGUUUCCUUUCUCUCUUGGAGACAAAAGCCCAUCAGUGGGAAAAGUCGCUUCCUCAAGGCUCUAUCACCUCCUGAAAUGACUGCAAGAAAGCCUUCUUGGCUAAGUUUUUCUCAAACUCCAGGACUGCGAGACUAAGGAAUGAUAUCUCCGGUUUCACUCAGACGAAUAAUGAGACUUUCUGCGAAGCAUGGGAGCGCUUCAAAGGUUAUCAGACGCAAUGUCCUCAUCAUGGUUUCUCCAAAGCUUCGCUUCUCAGCACUCUCUACAGAGGUGUCCUCCCAAAGAUCAGGAUGCUUCUAGAUACCGCUUCUAACGGGAACUUUCUCAACAAAGACGUUGAAGACGGAUGGGAGCUGGUAGAGAACUUAGCUCAGUCGGAUGGCAACUAUAAUGAAGAUUAUGAUAGAAGCGUCCGCACCAGCUCUGAUUCUGAUGAGAAGCACCGCAGGGAAAUGAAAGCCAUGAAUGACAAACUGGACAAGCUACUGCUUGUGCAACAGAAGCACAUUCAUUUU